This 276-nucleotide ribosomal RNA is filed under the name uncultured prokaryote. Its description in RNAcentral is "partial 16S ribosomal RNA". It matches the Rfam family "Bacterial small subunit ribosomal RNA", at positions 524 to 801 of the family's 1533-position model. The record is from RNAcentral.
UACGUAGGGGCUAGCGUUAUCCGGAAUUACUGGGCGUAAAGGGUGCGUAGGUGGUUUCUUAAGUCAGAGGUGAAAGGCUACGGCUCAACCGUAGUAAGCCUUUGAAACUGGGAAACUUGAGUGCAGGAGAGGAGAGUGGAAUUCCUAGUGUAGCGGUGAAAUGCGUAGAUAUUAGGAGGAACACCAGUUGCGAAGGCGGCUCUCUGGACUGUAACUGACACUGAGGCACGAAAGCGUGGGGAGCAAACAGGAUUAGAUACCCGUGUAGUCCCUGAG